Molecule: non-coding RNA, 89 nt
Organism: Mycena galericulata
Lineage: Eukaryota; Fungi; Basidiomycota; Agaricomycetes; Agaricales; Mycenaceae
Source: the annotation of a GenBank genome assembly
UCGGAUGUGGUGCACGGUGCACACCUGUUCUGGAUACAGCUUGAGAUGCAAUCUAACAGGAAGCCCGGGUUCGACUCCCGGCGUCCGAA